UACGGGAGGCAGCAGUGAGGAAUAUUGGUCAAUGGGCGCGAGCCUGAACCAGCCAAGUAGCGUGCAGGAUGACGGCCCUAUGGGUUGUAAACUGCUUUUAUGCGGGGAUAAAGUGCGGCACGCGUGCCGUUUUGUAGGUACCGCAUGAAUAAGGACCGGCUAAUUCCGUGCCAGCAGCCGCGGUAAU
Molecule: ribosomal RNA, 187 nt
Filed under: uncultured rumen bacterium
Lineage: Bacteria
Description: partial 16S ribosomal RNA
Rfam family: Bacterial small subunit ribosomal RNA
Source: RNAcentral